Molecule: long non-coding RNA, 2121 nt
Filed under: Homo sapiens (human)
Lineage: Eukaryota; Metazoa; Chordata; Mammalia; Primates; Hominidae
Description: non-protein coding lnc-CCAR2-3:2
Source: RNAcentral
AACGUGCGGCGCCCGCACCGCUCGCGGCUCUUGAAAAAAAGAGAAGGGGAGAAGAAACAAGAAGAAUGCGAGAAGAGAGAGGAAAGAAGGAUACAGCUGCAUGCAAAGCGCAAAGCGCGUAGCGUGGAGUCGAAACACCAGUAACUCAUUGUGUGUGUUUAUUUGAGGUUUGCGUUAGGAGAGCGCAUUGGGGAGAGGUGGGCGGUGGGGUGGGGUUGUUUGCAAGUGGUCUCCAACACCCCAGCAGUUAGAAAGAGAGUUGAAAACAUCUGGCGAAAUCCCUUUGCAGCCCGGGAACUGCUGGGGAACCCGGAAGGCGUGCGUUGCGCCCCUGCUACCUCAGCGGCUCCAGCGUUCGGGAUCCUAUCCGAGAUUAAGAGAAAGGGAGUGCUUCCCUUUGUGGGGGGAAGGAGGGGUGCGCGCAGGGUUGGGGGGGUGUUUCAACUUGUCAGAAUUCCUUGGUCCAAUAUCCCAAGAACUUUUGUGCCAACUUCACUCUGAUUCGCCGCCCCUGCCCCUCCCUGGGCCCCUGACCCGGCGCUGACUCUAGGCUGAGCGCAGUGGCGAGGAGAUUCGGAGCACCCCAGCAGUUGCGCCAAAGACAAGAGCCCCAUCCAUAUGGGGUCGAGGAUGUGCGGUUUUCGUGGUGAAGAGGAAAGAAUGAAGUUGAAGGGAUAGAUAAACACGUGCACUGAAUCCCCAGUAAAUUCCCUAACGGUUCCAAGCAGCCUCUGUGGCCACAGGAUGGCAGGAGGGCCCAGCAGGCCCGGGCGCAGUCGCUGUCUACUGCUGCCUGCGAAGGGCCCGCCAGAGUUCCAGAAGGAGGACGCCGAACCCACAGUCUCUGAGCCACUGGGGGCCUCCCCUAGUCUCUGCCCUCCCCCUCGCCUUCCACAGGGCUGUCCCCAUUGCUGCCUGCCGGCGCUCCGCAGUCAAGGGCGGCCUGUGUGCCGACCCGGAGCGCUUUCACCUCCCGGAGCGGCAGCAGAUCCCGGGGGCGGCUGCUGUGCUCCCUGGGGCCUGCUCCCGAGGCGCGCGCAGCCGGCCCGCGGGCGAGGGGGAGGAGAGGGCGGGAGCAUGGGGGUGCGACCCCAAAUCACAUCGGCUUGGCGGGGGAGGAUUCCCUCCUCGGUGGCCGCGUGGGCGCGGUGAAUCCCUCGUCCCCUCCUGGGGAGUCGGGGUUGGGGGAACGUGCAUUUCUCGGGGGGAGUGGGAGUGUUGACAAGGAAGAAGAGAGGAUCCCCGGGCCUCACGCCGUGGGAGGGCCACGCGGGCCGGGGACGUGUGGGAGGAACUCCCGAGCUGCACGUUGUGGUGGAGGUGGAUGACAACCUCGCUCCCCUCCCCUCCCCUCCACUCAGUGGAGGGCUGGGGACCGGAGGGCCCGGCCUCCCCCCAUCUUCUCCAGUUCUUAGGAAAGGAGGGAUUCCCGCCUCCCGCGAGCCCCCUCUCUCCACCCCCGCCGCCUCUCCCGCCAGGCUCCCCACUCCUAUACUAGGGAGCCACAGCGCCCCCCGGGCUGUCCUCCGCCAGCGCGGCUCAGGGAGGGAGAGCGCUGCAGCGGUCCCGCGCUCCGAUUCCGGUCCCAAGAUUUGCAUAUUUUGGCAUCCAGUGGAAAAGGAAAGAAGAACGGAACCCGCAGCCUUUAAAGGAACCGCACAGGCUGAUCUCUCCCCAGGAGGGGCUGCAGAGUGAGGAGCUAGAAGCCCUUAUCCUGUUCGACUGGGGCCUGAGUUGGGAAAGGCAGAGGCAGUGGAAGCAUUUGGGAUCCUUAAGCUUCCAGGGCCCCAGAGGCUGUGGAGUGCAGCCACUCCCAACUGGAGGAGACGGCCUCUCUCCCAACACUUUUCGGCACGCUGGACUUGUUGCUUCCAAGUAGAAGAGCAUGGGGCAAGGUUUGCUGACCUGCACCAGGGCUUGCUUACCCGUCAGCAAGAUUGGAUAGGAGUCUGGGGACACGAUUCCUUCCCUCUCCUUUCUACUAGUUCUUUGCAUAAAACGGGAGCCUUCAAUUCAAUUAAAGUCUUCAUUAAAGCUUCACUGUGACCUUGGGCAAACGUCUGUUUUUUUUUUCUUAGCCUCAGUUUCCUUGUCUGUAAAUUGGGAUAAUAGUAUCUACCC